This 180-nucleotide non-coding RNA is filed under the name marine eukaryotic metagenome. Its description in RNAcentral is "Lysine riboswitch". It matches the Rfam family "Lysine riboswitch aptamer". Rfam says of the family: Riboswitches are metabolite binding domains within certain messenger RNAs that serve as precision sensors for their corresponding targets. Allosteric rearrangement of mRNA structure is mediated by ligand binding, and this results in modulation of gene expression. This family includes riboswitches that sense lysine in a number of genes involved in lysine metabolism, including lysC. The record is from RNAcentral.
GAGGUAGAGGCGCAAAACUAAAGAGUAACUCUUUUUUAAAAAACCUAACAAGAAAAGAGUGAAAGGAAGUUUUGCCGAAGUCUUUAAUUUUUAUGGUUUUAAAGAUUAAGGAUUGGGUCUGUGUAUAACAUAUGCAGGACUGUCAUUGAAGUAUAACCCGUAUUUCAAUGUUGAGCUAUC